UUAAAAUAAGGAGGAUUUUAUAUACUUGAAAAAAUAAAAACUUUUCAAUAAUGUGAUGGUUAAAGGUACAUGCGACAACAACCGAGAUUUUCAAGCCAACAUUGAUAAACCAGGCGAAAUCUCGUAAUUAGGAUUAAGGAAAAAGAAUGAGGCUUAAUACGUUCUUAUGCCAAGAAAAGGAACUGCAAGCUUGAUACUACCUUAAUGACUGGUGAGCUACUUUUGUUGGUUAUCUGUGACACUUUCUUGAUGGGAAGUUCAUCGUAGGUCUUAUUGAUAUUGAUUUGGAAUAAACUAAUCAUAAAGAAAAGAAUUACUAUAUAAGUUGCAUUUUAUAAAUUAGGAAAAAAAUCAUGUUUAUUAAAUUUUAGAUGAGAAUUGCCAAAGGCACUGAGAAAUUUACCGACUUGAGAGAAUUGAGGAGCCUUUGGUGAUUUCAUCUUCAUCUAAUAAAUCAAAACAAUUGGAGUUCAUAAAUUAGGAGAAAAUAAAAUUGAAUAGAGUGGAUUUUGCAUGCUUGAAAGAACAAAAAAAAAAUUCAUAUUUAAGACAAUUAAAGUAAGAAAUUGAGAUAAAUAAGGCUUAUCUAUUAAACCCUAGCGUGACCCUUGAAGGCAGCCAUAGUUGGGUCGCAAAAAGGUACACAUUAGGAGCCAAAGGCUAGGAGAGAAGGAGGGAGGCAACAUACAAGCUUGAUUGGCUUCUAAAGUCAUUGAUCUGAGAGCAAAGAUCGACAUUCCCAACCUUAUUUAGCUUUGAUUUCAUUUUCUUCAUCAGGGACAAGGAGAGAAGAAUGAAGGGCUUGGCCAAAUGAAUCUCCGAUUAUAUCCCAAAUCGAAUUGAUCAGUGGGAGCCGACCAAUGAAAAACAUGAUGAUUUUGCAUAAAAAAUGUGUUGGAUCAGUUUUAUUUUAGCGUUCAGUGUGAGAACUGUGGAGGGCAGAAUAGACGGGAGAGAAGAGAGCAUCGUCAAAGGUUGAAUGGCAUUGAGAAGAGAAGAAAGAAUUGGCUCAAAGUUAAAA
Molecule: unclassified non-coding RNA, 1021 nt
Filed under: Hevea brasiliensis (rubber tree)
Lineage: Eukaryota; Viridiplantae; Streptophyta; Magnoliopsida; Malpighiales; Euphorbiaceae
Source: RNAcentral